AUGGAUUUGAUGUCUGUGGAGAAAGAAGGUUUAUACCAGAAAGGUCUCUUCCCUGAAAGAGGCACUCCCAUCAACCUAGAACCUAAAGAUCCUUGUCGGUGUCAGCCAUACUUUCCAGACAUGGACAGCAGUGCUGUGGGGAAGGGAAAAAACUGUCAUGUGCCUGAUGGUCACACUAAAGAAAACCCUGUCUUGGACAAGGAGCAUGGUUUACAUGACGCAUUCCCUGACCAGCAGAAUGGCUGUGUCGAAUACAACUGGGACCAGUCAUCCUCUUGUCCUAAGUGGGAAUGUACAGAGCAAAUUCAUGAAAUCCCUUUAAUGGGACAUCCUUCUAGUGACAAGGUCUCUCCGGAAACUGAAAGAGCACUUAUGGCGCUGGGGCAGGAAAGCGGGACAAGUGUUGUCAGCGACGACAGAGUGAAACUGCCAGUGUCUGGAGCAGACAAAUCUGUGAGUAGUGUAGACGGGCCUGUGUCUGAGGAGCCUGCCCAGAAUGAGAACUUCCAGAUGGAGGAGGAUGGGUCUCUGAAGCAGAGCAUUCUUAGUUCAAAGCUGUUGGACCACCCUUACUGUAAAAGUCCACUGGAUGCUCCCUUGCUGUGCAGUGAACCCAAAGUAGAAAACCAAAUGUCAGGUGGCAAGAGCAGCCAGACAGCGUCUCCAGUGGAUGAUGAGCAGCUCUCAACCUGCAUUUCUGGAUUCCUAGAUGAGGUUAUGAAAAAGUAUGGAAGACUGGUCCCACUCAGUGAAAAAGAUGUCCUUGGGAGAUUAAAAGAUGUCUUUAAUGAAGACUUUUCUAAUAGAAAACCAUUUAUCAAUAGGGAAAUAACAAACUACCGGGCCAGACAUCAAAAGUGUAACUUCCGCAUCUUCUACAAUAAGCACAUGCUGGAUAUGGAUGAUCUGGCAACUUUGGACUGUCAGAACUGGUUGAAUGACCAGGUUAUUAAUAUGUAUGGCGAGCUGAUAAUGGAUGCAGUCCCAGACAAGGUCCACUUCUUCAACAGCUUUUUCCAUAGACAGCUGGUAACCAAAGGCUAUAAUGGAGUUAAAAGAUGGACGAAGAAGGUGGACUUGUUUAAAAAGAGUCUUCUGUUGAUUCCCAUCCACCUGGAGGUCCACUGGUCUCUCAUUACUGUGACACUCUCCAGCCGGUUUAUUUCCUUUUAUGAUUCCCAAGGCAUUCAUUUUAAAUUCUGUGUAGAGAAUAUAAGAAAGUAUUUGCUGACUGAAGCCAGAGAAAAAAAAUAGGCCUGAAUUUCUUCAGGGUUGGCAGACUGCUGUUUCAAAGUGUAUUCCACAACAGAAAAAUGACAGUGACUGUGGAGUCUUUGUGCUCCAGUACUGCAAGUGCCUCGCCCUAGAGCAGCCUUUCCAGUUUUCUCAAGAAGACAUGCCUCGUGUGCAGAAGAGGAUCUAUAAGGAGCUGUGUGAGUGCCGGCUCCUGGACUGA
Mus caroli (Ryukyu mouse) is the source of this 1456-nucleotide non-coding RNA. NCBI's taxonomy places the organism in Eukaryota, Metazoa, Chordata, Mammalia, Rodentia, Muridae. The record is from RefSeq and is a predicted model, not a curated record.